This 300-nucleotide unclassified non-coding RNA is filed under the name uncultured Chaetothyriales. Its description in RNAcentral is "sequence contains 5.8S rRNA gene, ITS2". The stretch from base 1 to 71 matches the Rfam family "5.8S ribosomal RNA", at positions 84 to 154 of the family's 154-position model. The record is from RNAcentral. Lineage: Eukaryota; Fungi; Ascomycota; Eurotiomycetes; Chaetothyriales.
GUGAAUCAUCGAAUCUUUGAACGCAUAUUGCGCCCUUUGGUAUUCCGAAGGGCAUGCCUGUUCGAGCGUCAUUAUCAACCAUCAAGCCUGGCUUGUUAUUGGACUCUUUUUGCGGCUGAAAUAUGUUGCAGGUCCGAAAGAUAAUGACGGUGUCGUGUUUGACCCUAGAUGCAACGAGCUUUUUAACUAUAGCACGCAUUGAAGUGGUCGACCGACCCGGUCUUUAACCAUCAUUUUCUAAGGUUGACCUCGGAUCAGGUAGGACUACCCGCUGAACUUAAGCAUAUCAAUAAGCGGAGG